This 349-nucleotide ribosomal RNA is filed under the name uncultured Streptococcus sp. RNAcentral's name for it is "bacterial SSU rRNA". It matches the Rfam family "Bacterial small subunit ribosomal RNA", at positions 1033 to 1382 of the family's 1533-position model. Lineage: Bacteria; Bacillati; Bacillota; Bacilli; Lactobacillales; Streptococcaceae. The record is from RNAcentral.
GACAGGUGGUGCAUGGUUGUCGUCAGCUCGUGUCGUGAGAUGUUGGGUUAAGUCCCGCAACGAGCGCAACCCCUAUUGUUAGUUGCCAUCAUUCAGUUGGGCACUCUAGCGAGACUGCCGGUAAUAAACCGGAGGAAGGUGGGGAUGACGUCAAAUCAUCAUGCCCCUUAUGACCUGGGCUACACACGUGCUACAAUGGUUGGUACAACGAGUUGCGAGUCGGUGACGGCGAGCUAAUCUACUUAAAGCCAAUCUCAGUUCGGAUUGUAGGCUGCAACUCGCCUACAUGAAGUCGGAAUCGCUAGUAAUCGCGGAUCAGCACGCCGCGGUGAAUACGUUCCCGGGCCUU